Molecule: long non-coding RNA, 1003 nt
Organism: Pan troglodytes (chimpanzee)
Lineage: Eukaryota; Metazoa; Chordata; Mammalia; Primates; Hominidae
Exons: 6
Source: RefSeq, a predicted model, not a curated record
AGAAUGGGAUCUAGCAAGAUGGUAUUUCUGGAGCAAUAAGUCAUUUACUGAAUGAUUAUGCAAAGCAUAAAUUGCAUUAUAGUCCUAGAAUAAUACAAAGCUUCCCUUUAGUUGUUGCCGUAAAUUAAUAACUGGCAUUUUAAUGCACUAAAUGAAUUUUAGUAGUUAGAUUUAUAUCUUUGACUUCUAGGAAUUUCAACUACGUUAGAGUUCAUAUACACAGAAGGGGCAAGCCCUUUUCCACAGCAUUUCCAGCUUCGCCACAGAAACCUAGCCCCACAUGAGCAAAAGAUCACACUCUGUGCUUCAUCAAAGAGAUUACACAAUUACAGAUUCCAGCAUCUCCCAGGAGUCCUUUGAAUUUGGAUUAAGGUCUAUAAUUACGUGGCUGAUGGAAUUUGAGAAAUGGCAGGUGUGAGGACUCUGACCUUCCCAUGAAGCAGGUCAUAAGACCCUCAUGUGAGAGAUGCCCUCUCUAUACCUGGAGAAAAGAAGCAGUCUUAUUUGUGAAGACAGAGAGACGCCAAGAGGAAUCUAAAUGAAUAGGCCUUGGAACCCCACACGCACGGGCCUUGUGCUGUCGCUGCCGUGGCACCCCUUCUAGAAGAAAAUCUAGGUAUCUUGCACCAAGAAGUGGAAAAUAAAGAAGAGAAAUGAGAACCAUGUUUGUAUUGGCUGUCUAUAAAAUAAGAGUUCUAGGUACAUGAAAUCCACUGGUGUGCUGGUAAAUGUUUAAUAACCAGUCCUCUGGAAAGGAGAAAGUUGAAGACCCCAUUUAUACAUUUGCUCAUUUCGGUGGUGUAAAUACCCUGAAAAUAGCUGAUUUCGAGCUAUCAACAUUACUGAAGAUGGAGCUGGGAAGAGCAUCUCCUUCAUUAUCCUCCUUCUAAGCUGAUGCGCCUGCUUUCUGCUUAACUGAGAAAACUGAAGAGAUCAUAUCAGAAGUUGCAUGGAUUCUGCAUCACCACUGCAUCUGCUCACCACUCAGCAUCUCCACCCACAG